Molecule: long non-coding RNA, 1725 nt
Filed under: Sus scrofa (pig)
Lineage: Eukaryota; Metazoa; Chordata; Mammalia; Artiodactyla; Suidae
Description: lncRNA (ENSSSCG00015018192.1)
Source: RNAcentral
AGGCCGACGAGGAGAUGACUGGCUACGUGGCCACUCGCUGGUACCGUGCCCCCGAGAUCAUGCUGAACUGGAUGCAUUACAACCAGACAGUGGACAUCUGGUCUGUGGGCUGCAUCAUGGCCGAGCUGCUCCAGGGAAAGGCCCUCUUCCCAGGAAAUGACUACAUCGACCAGCUGAAGCGCAUCAUGGAGGUGGUGGGCACACCCAGCCCUGAGGUUCUAGCGAAGAUAUCCUCGGAACACGCCUGUUGGAGUGAACGGGUCUGGGGGCUUCUCUUGGCAAGCCCCUGCCUGGCUGAGGCCCGGGGAGGUGGGCCCUGAGCAGCCCCCUCCACACGCCGCUAGGCCCGGGCGUACAUCCAGUCGCUGCCCCCCGUGCCCCAGAAGGAUCUCAGGAGCAUCUUCCGUGGCGCCAACCCCCUGGCUGUGGACCUCCUGGGAAGGAUGCUGGUGCUGGACAGUGACCAGAGGGUCAGCGCGGCCGAGGCCCUGUCGCACGCCUACUUCAGCCAGUACCACGACCCGGAGGAUGAGCCGGAAGCAGAGCCCUACGAUGAGAGCAUCGAGGCCAAGGAGCGCACGGCGGAGGANNNNNNNNAGCUCACCUACCAGGAGGUCCUCAGCUUCAAGCCCCCGGAGCCACCGCGGCCACCUGGCAGCCUGGAGGUUGAGCAGUGAGGCGACCUCAAGGCAGGGCCUGAGCCGGCCUGCCCCCUCCCUCAGCCUGCCUCCCAGGACCCCUUGUCUACGCGACACUCCUUGGGGCAAGUUUGCACGCUUGGAUGCUCAUGUGUGAGCCACCGACGUGGGAGUCUGGGCAGAGCUGUCAGGACUUCCUUGGUCCCCGACCCGCUCCCAGCAACCUGAGUCUCCCUCGGGACCUCACUGUGGGGGACCUGGGUGCCCUAGCACCCCCCGGGGAUGGUGUCUGUUUCCAGUCUCCUGAGCCGAAGAGGGCUGUCGCAUGGUCGGCGGGGCGGGGGGGGUGGUGCUUUGGGGCCCAGCCUCCUGGAGACAAAAGUCUGGGUGGUCAGAGCCGCUCAGCGGGAAGGGGCUGCCCUGCAAAGUGCUGAGCCGAAUCUUCCCUGGGGGGCAGGUGGGGACAGCUGCCUGGAGCCAUGUGUUCACCUGUGCUAUCUUGGGCACACCUGGGAUUCACAUGUCAAAGCAGAUGCAGGCAUGUGUGGACCUGAGGGCAUCCAAAGGCCAGCGACCAUGACCAGCAGGAGGCCCAAGUUGGGGCGGCAGUGGCAGUGGCUCACUAUUGCCCACCCCCCCAGGUCCUGGGGUGGGAGCCGUGCUGCCGGCCAGGGGCGAGGUGACCAGGGUCAGCCAUGUGAGCAAAAGGAUCCUGUCUCCUUGGGCAUGGGAUCUGCAGCAGGUUCCAGAGGCCCGAGGGCACCAUGCCAGCUGGGGGGCUGGCAGGCCUGGGGGCUCCAGCAUGGAGGACCCACACUCUGGUAUGGACUCGGAUCCUGGCCCCUGGCCCAGAGCUCCUGAAGAAAACCUCUGCCCGCUCUACGUCUGCAGGGCAGCCCUGUCUUGCCCCUCCAGGGUGCAGCUGACCUCCAGCCUCUGCUCGAAAUGCACUGGGGGUGCAGGUCCUCCCUCAAGGGGCUUCUCUGUCAGGCGGGCUGGGGGGUGACCCCUGGCCUUGCGGGAUCAGGGAGAUCUGAAUGUCAAGUGCCUGCCCCAGGGUUUCACAAUAAAAGGGGUCCUCUCUCGC